RNAcentral lists this long non-coding RNA (1008 nucleotides) under Vulpes vulpes (red fox). RNAcentral's name for it is "lncRNA (ENSVVUG00000000926.1)". The record is from RNAcentral. Lineage: Eukaryota; Metazoa; Chordata; Mammalia; Carnivora; Canidae.
CUGGGACCAUGCAGAGACCCAGAAGGAGACUAUGAACAUAAAGCAGGAGGGAGAGGACCGGGCUGAGCUGGGGCAGAGGAGACGCGGAGGCCGGGGCAUCUCAGCUCUAAUGCUGCCCACUGACCCUUUGGAGAAGUCCAGAGCCACUUCUCACCCUUCUGUGUAUGCUUUGGCGUUGGGUUACACAAGGGACGUGGAGAAGCAUGCACAUUGCCAGCCCUGAUCCCACUCCCACCGGAUUUCUCGGAGCCACGGCUGCAGGUUCACUGCCCCGAUAUCACAGCUUCUCACCAAAGUAUACUGGGUGUUUUCCUGUAUAUAUCUAUUCUUCACAAUAACUCACUGACGUUGGUUUUAUGGCUUAACUUCACUGAGAAGUGAUGGUGGAAUGGAAAGAGGACAGUUCCUUUGAGUCCAGCAGAUGUGGACUUAAAUCCACAUCCCAACCACAUCUUAGCCCCGUAAACAGGCAUGCUGACGCAGAGCUGAGUGUGACAGCGACGAUCCAAAUCCUAGAAACCAGCAGACUCAGUGGCGUCUAAAGCGUUUGCAAACAUGUUCCAGCAGAGUGGAUCUAUUGAAAGUUCAGAUGUUGGUGGCUAAUACUUUUCUUUUUUAAAGUCCUUACAGAAUUGACUGACAAAGUCCAUUGAAAACUGAACAAAGUAAGAAAAAUUGCCCAAUCGUGUUGGACUACAAAUUAAAAAAAGUAUUUUAAAUGACACCUUCUCCCUGACUGGGACAUGGUGGCUUAUCAAACAAAGGCUGCAGAUGUGCACUCUGCUUGGCAGGAGGGGCAGGUGUCUCGUGGGGGUCCUCUCCACCCAGGUCUCUUUCAUAGGUGGUGAAAUGCAAGGCAGACAUGAAGUCGGAGGGAACAGGGGAAAGAAGGGUCUUUGAGCCAUUCUCUGGUGCAAUUUGUACCAUGGAAAUUUAGUUUUGAUUUUUUCCAUAUGAAUCAUGAAAAACAUGAAACAUGCAGGGGGUUUAUCAUAAUUCGCAAUGAGA